CUUGCUCCUGAUGUUAGCGGCGGACGGGUGAGUAACACGUGGGUAACCUGCCUGUAAGACUGGGAUAACUCCGGGAAACCGGGGCUAAUACCGGAUGCUUGAUUGAACCGCAUGGUUCAAUUAUAAAAGGUGGCUUUUGCUUACCCUUUCCGAAGGGCCCCCGGGGCCUUAACUUAUUGGGGGAGGAACCGGUCCCCCAAGGCACCAAGGCUAACCCAACUUGAAAGGGGGUCCGGCCCCCUGGGAAUUAAAACCCGGCCAAAAUUCCUCCGGAAGGAACAAGAAGGAAUCUUUCCCCAUGGAACAAAAUCUUAACGAACCACCCCCCCUGGAUGAAGAAAGGUUUUCGAACCUAAAAAUUUGGUGGUAAGGAAAAACCAAUACCCGUCCAAUUAGGGGGGAACCUGGACGGACCCUAACCAAAAACCACCGGUAACCACCUGGCAACCACCGGGGGUAUUAAUAAGGGGCAGCGGUGGUCGGAAUAAUGGGCGAAACCCCGGGAGGCCGUUUCUUAGUCUGUGGGAAGCCCCCCGCUCAACCGGGGAGGGCAUUGGAAACUGGGGAACUUGAGUGCAGAAGAGAGAGUGGAAUUCCACGUGUAGCGGUUGAAAUGCGUAAGAUGUGAAGAACACCAGUGCGAAGCGACUCUCUGGUCUGUAACUGACGCUGAGGCGCGAAAGCGUGGGGAGCGAACAGGAUUAGAUACCCUGGUAGUCCACGCCGUAAACGAUGAGUGCUAAGUGUUAGAGGGUUUCCGCCCUUUAGUGCUGCAGCAAACGCAUUAAGCACUCCGCCUGGGGAGUACGGUCGCAAGACUGAAACUCAAAGGAAUUGACGGGGGCCCGCACAAGCGGUGGAGCAUGUGGUUUAAUUCGAAGCAACGCGAAGAACCUUACCAGGUCUUGACAUCCUCUGACAACCCUAGAGAUAGGGCUUCCCCUUCGGGGGCAGAGUGACAGGUGGUGCAUGGUUGUCGUCAGCUCGUGUCGUGAGAUGUUGGGUUAAGUCCCGCAACGAGCGCAACCCUUGAUCUUAGUUGCCAGCAUUCAGUUGGGCACUCUAAGGUGACUGCCGGUGACAAACCGGAGGAAGGUGGGGAUGACGUCAAAUCAUCAUGCCCCUUAUGACCUGGGCUACACACGUGCUACAAUGGGCAGAACAAAGGGCAGCGAAGCCGCGAGGCUAAGCCAAUCCCACAAAUCUGUUCUCAGUUCGGAUCGCAGUCUGCAACUCGACUGCGUGAAGCUGGAAUCGCUAGUAAUCGCGGAUCAGCAUGCACGCCCCCAAGC
This 1292-nucleotide ribosomal RNA is filed under the name Bacillus licheniformis. RNAcentral's name for it is "bacterial SSU rRNA". It matches the Rfam family "Bacterial small subunit ribosomal RNA", at positions 79 to 1368 of the family's 1533-position model. Lineage: Bacteria; Bacillati; Bacillota; Bacilli; Caryophanales; Bacillaceae. The record is from RNAcentral.